GCAACAUUACUGGUCUUAGCACAAUCCCAUGGGGAGCUCUGGGGUAUAAAUUACUUCUCAGAGUUUGUGGAAACUUGAGUGUCCUUGCGAAGGAGCUGGAGAGCAUGAUUAUCUCCAUUCCACAAAUAAGAAAAAUGGAGCUGCUGAGGGGAUGAAGACCAGAGUGACCUUGGAAACCACACAUUUUUUUUACUGCAGGCCAGCUAUCAGCCUGGAUCCCUGAAGGAUCAUGCAGACAGAUUUGCCUACAAAUCUGAACCAUCAUUCAGACUGUUAUAAGAGAUAGAAAUAAAUGUCUUAAAAUGUCA
Long non-coding RNA from Suricata suricatta (meerkat), 308 nucleotides. RefSeq lists it as uncharacterized. The record is from RefSeq and is a predicted model, not a curated record. NCBI's taxonomy places the organism in Eukaryota, Metazoa, Chordata, Mammalia, Carnivora, Herpestidae. The transcript has 3 exons.